This 273-nucleotide ribosomal RNA is filed under the name uncultured prokaryote. RNAcentral's name for it is "partial 16S ribosomal RNA". It matches the Rfam family "Bacterial small subunit ribosomal RNA", at positions 524 to 798 of the family's 1533-position model. The record is from RNAcentral.
UACGUAGGGGCGAGCGUUAUCCGGAAUUAUUGGGCGUAAAGAGUGCGUAGGUGGUCUUGUAAGCGUGGGGUGAAAGGCAGUGGCUUAACCAUUGUUAGCCUUGCGAACUGUGAGACUUGAGUGCAGGAGAGGAAAGUGGAAUUCCUAGUGUAGCGGUGAAAUGCGUAGAUAUUAGGAGGAACACCAGUGGCGAAGGCGGGUAACUGGACUGCAACUGACGCUGAGGCGCGAAAGCGUGGGGAGCAAACAGGAUUAGAUACCCCCGUAGUCCCU